UAGUGGCAGACGGGUGAGUAAUGUAUAGGAAUCUACCUAGUAGUACGGAAUAAUUGUUGGAAACGACAACUAAUACCGUAUACGCCCUACGGGGGAAAAAUUUAUUGCUAUUAGAUGAGCCUAUAUUAGAUUAGCUAGUUGGUGGGGUAAUAGCCUACCAAGGUAAUGAUCUAUAGCUGAUCUGAGAGGAUGAUCAGCCACACUGGAACUGAGAUACGGUCCAGACUCCUACGGGAGGCAGCAGUGGGGAAUAUUGGACAAUGGGCGAAAGCCUGAUCCAGCCAUGCCGCAUGAGUGAAGAAGGCCUUUGGGUUGUAAAGCUCUUUUAGUGAGGAAGAUAAUGACGGUACUCACAGAAGAAGUCCUGGCUAACUCCGUGCCAGCAGCCGCGGUAAUACGGAGAGGGCUAGCGUUAUUCGGAAUUAUUGGGCGUAAAGGGCGCGUAGGCUGGUUAAUAAGUUAAAAGUGAAAUCCCGAGGCUUAACCUUGGAAUUGCUUUUAAAACUAUUAAUCUAGAGAUUGAAAGAGGAUAGAGGAAUUCCUGAUGUAGAGGUAAAAUUCGUAAAUAUUAGGAGGAACACCAGUGGCGAAGGCGUCUAUCUGGUUCAAAUCUGACGCUGAAGCGCGAAGGCGUGGGGAGCAAACAGGAUUAGAUACCCUGGUAGUCCACGCUGUAAACGAUGAAUGUUAAAUAUGGGGAGUUUACUUUCUGUAUUACAGCUAACGCGUUAAACAUUCCGCCUGGGGACUACGGUCGCAAGAUUAAAACUCAAAGGAAUUGACGGGGACCCGCACAAGCGGUGGAGCAUGUGGUUUAAUUCGAUGCAACGCGAAAAACCUUACCACUUCUUG
RNAcentral lists this ribosomal RNA (852 nucleotides) under Wolbachia endosymbiont of Hypolimnas bolina bolina. RNAcentral describes it as "bacterial SSU rRNA". It matches the Rfam family "Bacterial small subunit ribosomal RNA", at positions 93 to 983 of the family's 1533-position model. The record is from RNAcentral. RNAcentral also lists the same sequence under 2 other names. Lineage: Bacteria; Pseudomonadati; Pseudomonadota; Alphaproteobacteria; Rickettsiales; Anaplasmataceae.